This 468-nucleotide ribosomal RNA is filed under the name uncultured bacterium. RNAcentral's name for it is "partial 16S ribosomal RNA". It matches the Rfam family "Bacterial small subunit ribosomal RNA", at positions 28 to 507 of the family's 1533-position model. The record is from RNAcentral.
GACGAACGCUGGCGGCGUGCUUAACACAUGCAAGUCGAACGGAAAGGCCCUGCUUUUGUGGGGUGCUCGAGUGGCGAACGGGUGAGUAACACGUGAGUAACCUGCCCUUGACUUUGGGAUAACUUCAGGAAACUGGGGCUAAUACCGGAUAGGAUCUCCUGCUGCAUGGUGGGGGUUGGAAAUUUUCGGCGGUUGGGGAUGGACUCGCGGCUUAUCAGCUUGUUGGUGGGGUAGUGGCUUACCAAGGCUUUGACGGGUAGCCGGCCUGAGAGGGUGACCGGCGACAUUGGGACUGAGAUACGGCCCAGACUCCUACGGGAGGCAGCAGUGGGGAAUAUUGCACAAUGGGCGGAAGCCUGAUGCAGAAACGCCGCGUGCGGGAUGACGGCCUUCGGGUUGUAAACCGCUUUCGCCUGUGACGAAGCGUGAGUGACGGUAAUGGGUAAAGAAGCACCGGCUAACUACGUG